RNAcentral lists this ribosomal RNA (393 nucleotides) under uncultured bacterium. Its description in RNAcentral is "partial 16S ribosomal RNA". It matches the Rfam family "Bacterial small subunit ribosomal RNA", at positions 523 to 918 of the family's 1533-position model. The record is from RNAcentral.
AUACGGAAGGUCCGGGCGUUAUCCGGAUUUAUUGGGUUUAAAGGGAGCGCAGGCGGAGAUGCAAGCGUGACGUCAAAUUUCGGGGCUCAACCCCGUCUCGCGUCGCGAACUGCGUCCCUUGGUUGCGGGAAGGGGAGGCGGAACUCGUGGUGUAACGGUGAAAUGCAUAGAUAUCACGAAGAACUCCGAUCGCGAAGGCAGCCUUCCGGCCCGUCAACGACGCUCAUGCUCGAAGGUGCGGGUAUCAAACAGGAUUAGAUACCCUGGUAGUCCGCACAGUAAACGAUGGACACCCGCGGUUUGGCCUGUAUGGCUGAGCCGCCAAGCGAAAGCGUUAAGUGUCCCACCUGGGGAGUACGCCGGCAACGGUGAAACUCAAAGGAAUUGACGGGG